RNAcentral lists this ribosomal RNA (413 nucleotides) under uncultured microorganism. Its description in RNAcentral is "bacterial SSU rRNA". It matches the Rfam family "Bacterial small subunit ribosomal RNA", at positions 9 to 402 of the family's 1533-position model. The record is from RNAcentral.
GAGUUUGAUCUUGGCUCAGAACGAACGCUGGCGGCGGGCCUAACACAUGCAAGUCGCACGAGAACGGUGGGCUUCGGCCUACCUAGUAAAGUGGCGCACGGGUGAGUAACGCGUGGGUAAUCUGCCCCCGGGUUGGGGAUAACGUUCCGAAAGGGGCGCUAAUACCGAAUAAGACCACGGCCACUGCGGUGGCAGGGGUCAAAGCGGGCCUCUACAUGUAAGCUCGCGCCUGGGGAGGAGCUCGCGUCCCAUUAGCUUGUUGGUGAGGUAACGGCUCACCAAGGCUACGAUGGGUAGCUGGUCUGAGAGGAUGAUCAGCCACACUGGGACUGAAACACGGCCCAGACUCCUACGGGAGGCAGCAGUGAGGAAUCUUGCGCAAUGGGGGAAACCCUGACGCAGCCACGCCGCGU